GUUUAUCAAAAACAUCGCCUCUUGGAAAAUAAGAGGUACUGCCUGCUCAAUGCUUAAAAGUAAAUAGCCGCAGUAUUUUGACUGUGCUAAGGUAGCAUAAUCAUUAGUCUUUUAAUUGAAGGCUGGUAUGAAGGGCAAGACGAGAAAAAAGCUGUCUCUAUCAAAAAAAAUUGAAUUUCAUUUUUUAGUGCAAAAGCUAAAAUACUCUUAAAGGACGAUCAGACCCUAUGGAGUUUAAAACUACUAUUAUUAUAAAUUAAUUUUAAAUAAUUGUAAUAAUAAUAGUUUUUUGUUGGGGCGACAAAAAGAUAAAAAUAACACUUUUUUAUUUUAACUUAUAUAUAAGGAAAAUUGAUCCCUAAAGAAGGAUUAAAAGACUAAGUUACCCUAGGGAUAACAGCGUAAUCUUUUUGGAGAGUUCAUAUCGAUAAAAAGGUUUGCGACCUCGAUGUUGGAUUAAGAAUUUGAUGGGGUGCAGCAGUUCCAUUGUAAAGUCUGUUCGACUUUUAAAAU
Molecule: ribosomal RNA, 513 nt
Filed under: Moina brachiata
Lineage: Eukaryota; Metazoa; Arthropoda; Branchiopoda; Diplostraca; Moinidae
Description: partial 16S ribosomal RNA
Rfam family: Bacterial large subunit ribosomal RNA
Source: RNAcentral